UGGGACCAAGAAUUAAGGCAA
RNAcentral lists this non-coding RNA (21 nucleotides) under Arabidopsis thaliana (thale cress). Lineage: Eukaryota; Viridiplantae; Streptophyta; Magnoliopsida; Brassicales; Brassicaceae. The record is from RNAcentral.